Molecule: long non-coding RNA, 487 nt
Organism: Sapajus apella (tufted capuchin)
Lineage: Eukaryota; Metazoa; Chordata; Mammalia; Primates; Cebidae
Exons: 2
Source: RefSeq, a predicted model, not a curated record
UCUUGACCUCAUGAUCCUCCCACCUUGGCCUCCCAGUGUGCUGGGAUUACUGGCGUGAGCCACCGCGCCCAGCCUCACCCUCUUAAUGAUUAUGUUCGCAUCUGUGUGACCAAGUGGUAGAAUCUGCUGUAUCUGAUGGUAUUGUUUACACCAUCCAUUCUUUAGUUCCUUCUGCUCUGGACUUCCUAGGCUCAGACUCUGGAGUGGCUAAGCCAGCUCUUUUCCCCCAGGUCUCCUGAGUGUAAGCAGAGUAGGUGGUACACCAGAAAAUCUUCAUGCAAGUCAUCUUCUUAGGUUCCUCUUCCUAGACUGACUAUCUUGGUUUAACCAGCCAUUUUAGAGGAGCCCUUUACCUAGAGUUGAAAGAUGUGUAGUGGGCCAGGCCUGAUAUACAUGAAACAUGCACACACAUAUCAAAGGCCUUCUUGAGUUUAUCCAGAAUGAAUAUCGAGCAUACAACCAAUGGAAAUACCUGAAAUCCUACAUA